UACGUAGGGGGCAAGCGUUAUCCGGAUUUACUGGGUGUAAAGGGAGCGUAGACGGUUAUGCAAGUCUGAAGUGAAAGCCCAAGGCUCAACCAUGGGACUGCUUUGGAAACUGUAAAACUGGAGUGCAGGAGAGGUAAGCGGAAUUCCUAGUGUAGCGGUGAAAUGCGUAGAUAUUAGGAGGAACACCUGUGGCGAAGGCGGCUUACUGGACUGUAACUGACGUUGAGGCUCGAAGGCGUGGGGAGCAAACAGG
Molecule: ribosomal RNA, 253 nt
Filed under: uncultured bacterium
Lineage: Bacteria
Description: partial 16S ribosomal RNA
Rfam family: Bacterial small subunit ribosomal RNA
Source: RNAcentral